RNAcentral lists this ribosomal RNA (484 nucleotides) under uncultured bacterium. RNAcentral describes it as "partial 16S ribosomal RNA". It matches the Rfam family "Bacterial small subunit ribosomal RNA", at positions 30 to 507 of the family's 1533-position model. The record is from RNAcentral.
AUUGAACGCUGGCGGCAGGCCUAACACAUGCAAGUCGAGCGGAUGAAGGGAGCUUGCUCCUGGAUUCAGCGGCCGACGGGUGAGUAAUGCCUAGGAAUCUGCCUGGUAGUGGGGGAUAACGUCAGGAAACGGGCGCUAAUACCGCAUACGUCCUGAGGGAGAAAGUGAGGGAUCUUCAGACCUCACGCUAUCAGAUGAGCCUAGGUCGGAUUAGCUAGUUGGUGGGGUAAAGGCCUACCAAGGCGACGAUCCGUAACUGGUCUGAGAGGAUGAUCAGUCACACUGGAACUGAGACACGGUCCAGACUCCUACGGGAGGCAGCAGUGGGGAAUAUUGGACAAUGGGCGAAAGCCUGAUGCAGCCAUGCCGCGUGUGUGAAGAAGGUCUUCGGAUUGUAAAGCACUUUAAGUUGGGAGGAAGGGCAGUAAGUUAAUACCUUGCUGUUUUGACGUUACCAACAGAAUAAGCACCGGCUAACUUCGUG